GACGAACGCUGGCGGCGUGCUUAACACAUGCAAGUCGAACGGAAAGGCCCUGCUUUUGUGGGGUGCUCGAGUGGCGAACGGGUGAGUAACACGUGAGUAACCUGCCCUUGACUUUGGGAUAACUUCAGGAAACUGGGGCUAAUACCGGAUAGGAGCUCCUGCUGCAUGGUGGGGGUUGGAAAGUUUCGGCGGUUGGGGAUGGACUCGCGGCUUAUCAGCUUGUUGGUGGGGUAGUGGCUUACCAAGGCUUUGACGGGUAGCCGGCCUGAGAGGGUGACCGGCCACGUUGGGACUGAGAUACGGCCGAGACUCCGACGGGAGGCAGCAGUGGGGAAUAUUGCACAAUGGGCGGAAGACUGAUGCAGCAACGCCGCGUGCGGGAUGACGGCCUUCGGGUUGUAAACCGCUUUCGCCUGUGACGAAGCGUGAGUGACGGUAAUGGGUAAAGAAGCACCGGCUAACUACGUG
This 468-nucleotide ribosomal RNA is filed under the name uncultured bacterium. Its description in RNAcentral is "partial 16S ribosomal RNA". It matches the Rfam family "Bacterial small subunit ribosomal RNA", at positions 28 to 507 of the family's 1533-position model. The record is from RNAcentral.